AUUGAACGCUGGCGGCAUGCCUUACACAUGCAAGUCGAACGGCAGCACGGGAGCAAUCCUGGUGGCGAGUGGCGAACGGGUGAGUAAUAUAUCGGAACGUGCCCAGUCGUGGGGAUAACGUAGCGAAAGCUACGCUAAUGCCGCAUACGAUCUACGGAUGAAAGCGGGGGAUCGCAAGACCUCGCGCGAUUGGAGCGGCCGAUAUCAGAUUAGGUAGUUGGUGAGGUAAAGGCUCACCAAGCCGACGAUCUGUAGCUGGUCUGAAGAGGACGACCAGCCACACUGGGACUGAGACACGGCCCAGACUCCUACGGGAGGCAGCAGUGGGGAAUUUUGGACAAUGGGCGCGAAGCCUGAUCCAGCAAUAGCCGCGUGCAGGAU
Molecule: ribosomal RNA, 381 nt
Filed under: uncultured bacterium
Lineage: Bacteria
Description: bacterial SSU rRNA
Rfam family: Bacterial small subunit ribosomal RNA
Source: RNAcentral